GAAGCAGAAGGCCUAGGAAUUAAUUUCUCAAACCAAGGUAAAUCCGCAUCAAAUUACAUGAUUCCAUUAAGUGGGGUACUUGAGUGGAAAAUCUAUGACAUUCAAGACACUUGAAAAGCUAAUUUUCCAUUGGAGAAUGCACAGAAUUAGCAAGAAUUGACAAUGCAGUAGAAAAGAGACGAAUAAUUGUACCCAUUAUCAUGCACAAAAACAGAAAACUCCUACCCACGUUUGAGACAUCACAUAAGAGGCAGUGUCCAUUAUACAGUAAACAUAACCAAGCAGACCCAUCUCAAGUAUAUAGCUUGAAAUUCAUUCAAAGACCAAAAUAAGUACUCAAAUUCCUAACAUUUUGGCUACCCAGAACGGCCAACAGACCCACCGACAUAAAGCAUGUUCAACUAUGUAAUUGUAAAGCAUGAACUAUUGAAUUAGACAAUUGAGAAUUAGGAUUUGGAUUAGGGUCUUGACCUGGUUUGAAAAGAAGAGCUAAU
RNAcentral lists this unclassified non-coding RNA (494 nucleotides) under Hevea brasiliensis (rubber tree). The record is from RNAcentral. Lineage: Eukaryota; Viridiplantae; Streptophyta; Magnoliopsida; Malpighiales; Euphorbiaceae.